UGCUUCCUUCUUAAUGAGAGGGUGACGCAGGUCGGCUAAAGUGUGCGUUUGGUUUUUAUUUGCUCCAGCGUUUGCUCAUACACUGCUUGUUUGGUUGCGGGUACAUUGAGAUCAAAAGAAGGUUGCUUCGAAGAACUAGCACCACUUCGAUCGUCUCCGGCGGGAGCCAAAAGAAGGUUGCUUCGAAGAACUAGCACCACUUCGAUCGUCUCCGGCGGAAGCCUAUCCCACCUAAAUUAAAUCCAUGGCAGAAAAAAGAAAAUCGAGCAAGUCGGUAAGAAAUGGAGCAAAGAAAGCGGCUUCAAAAGAAACCUAUUAGAUAGAGUAAAAAAGGAUACGAGUAACCAAAAGUACGGUGAUACUGAUAAUCACUCGUUUCAAAAGAGAGAAAAAAUGCUGAAAAAGGUUCGAUUCAUCUUGUGUGAUGGAAAUUCGUAUUCUUCGUAGCUGGUUC
RNAcentral lists this long non-coding RNA (454 nucleotides) under Linum usitatissimum (flax). Its description in RNAcentral is "long non-coding RNA (LUSI_LNC006152)". Lineage: Eukaryota; Viridiplantae; Streptophyta; Magnoliopsida; Malpighiales; Linaceae. The record is from RNAcentral.